RNAcentral lists this unclassified non-coding RNA (211 nucleotides) under Hevea brasiliensis (rubber tree). The record is from RNAcentral. Lineage: Eukaryota; Viridiplantae; Streptophyta; Magnoliopsida; Malpighiales; Euphorbiaceae.
AAAAACAGUAACUACAAUUUCUCAGAUGGAAAGGUUACUAGUUAGGCAUCGUGCUCGUUCACGUGCUAUGAGACCUAGGUGGUCCUCGGAACGUGACAAGGAAAUUCUGGCUGCUAGGUUACAGAUAGAGAAUGCUCCACUUAUAAGAAAUGAUCGAGAAAUUUAUGCUCCCGCCUUUCGAAAUAUGUCCAUGUUCAAAAGGAGCUAUGAA